This 484-nucleotide ribosomal RNA is filed under the name uncultured bacterium. Its description in RNAcentral is "partial 16S ribosomal RNA". It matches the Rfam family "Bacterial small subunit ribosomal RNA", at positions 30 to 507 of the family's 1533-position model. The record is from RNAcentral.
AUUGAACGCUGGCGGAAUGCUUUACACAUGCAAGUCGAGCGGCAGCGCGGCCUUCGGGCUGGCGGCGAGCGGCGAACGGGUGAGUAAUGCAUCGGAACAUGCCCAGUCGUGGGGGAUAACACUUCGAAAGAAGUGCUAAUACCGCAUACGUCCUGAGGGGGAAAGCGGGGGAUCUCAAGACCUCGCGCGAUUGGAGUGGCCGAUGUCAGAUUAGCUAGUUGGUGGGGUAAAGGCCUACCAAGGCGACGAUCUGUAGCUGGUCUGAGAGGAUGAUCAGCCACACUGGGACUGAGACACGGCCCAGACUCCUACGGGAGGCAGCAGUGGGGAAUUUUGGACAAUGGGGGCAACCCUGAUCCAGCCAUUCCGCGUGAGUGAAGAAGGCCUUCGGGUUGUAAAGCUCUUUCGGCAGGAACGAAACGGUGGGCUCUAACAUAGUCCGCUAAUGACGGUACCUAAAGAAGAAGCACCGGCUAACUACGUG